RNAcentral lists this ribosomal RNA (1463 nucleotides) under uncultured Klebsiella sp. RNAcentral describes it as "bacterial SSU rRNA". It matches the Rfam family "Bacterial small subunit ribosomal RNA". Lineage: Bacteria; Pseudomonadati; Pseudomonadota; Gammaproteobacteria; Enterobacterales; Enterobacteriaceae. The record is from RNAcentral.
AUUGAACGCUGGCGGCAGGCCUAACACAUGCAAGUCGAACGGUAGCACAGAGAGCUUGCUCUCGGGUGACGAGUGGCGGACGGGUGAGUAAUGUCUGGGAAACUGCCUGAUGGAGGGGGAUAACUACUGGAAACGGUAGCUAAUACCGCAUAACGUCGCAAGACCAAAGAGGGGGACCUUCGGGCCUCUUGCCAUCAGAUGUGCCCAGAUGGGAUUAGCUAGUAGGCGGGGUAACGGCCCACCUAGGCGACGAUCCCUAGCUGGUCUGAGAGGAUGACCAGCCACACUGGAACUGAGACACGGUCCAGACUCCUACGGGAGGCAGCAGUGGGGAAUAUUGCACAAUGGGCGCAAGCCUGAUGCAGCCAUGCCGCGUGUGUGAAGAAGGCCUUCGGGUUGUAAAGCACUUUCAGCGGGGAGGAAGGCGGUACGGUUAAUAACCGUGCCGAUUGACGUUACCCGCAGAAGAAGCACCGGCUAACUCCGUGCCAGCAGCCGCGGUAAUACGGAGGGUGCAAGCGUUAAUCGGAAUUACUGGGCGUAAAGCGCACGCAGGCGGUCUGUCAAGUCGGAUGUGAAAUCCCCGGGCUCAACCUGGGAACUGCAUUCGAAACUGGCAGGCUAGAGUCUUGUAGAGGGGGGUAGAAUUCCAGGUGUAGCGGUGAAAUGCGUAGAGAUCUGGAGGAAUACCGGUGGCGAAGGCGGCCCCCUGGACAAAGACUGACGCUCAGGUGCGAAAGCGUGGGGAGCAAACAGGAUUAGAUACCCUGGUAGUCCACGCCGUAAACGAUGUCGAUUUGGAGGUUGUGCCCUUGAGGCGUGGCUUCCGGAGCUAACGCGUUAAAUCGACCGCCUGGGGAGUACGGCCGCAAGGUUAAAACUCAAAUGAAUUGACGGGGGCCCGCACAAGCGGUGGAGCAUGUGGUUUAAUUCGAUGCAACGCGAAGAACCUUACCUGGUCUUGACAUCCACAGAACUUUCCAGAGAUGGAUUGGUGCCUUCGGGAACUGUGAGACAGGUGCUGCAUGGCUGUCGUCAGCUCGUGUUGUGAAAUGUUGGGUUAAGUCCCGCAACGAGCGCAACCCUUAUCCUUUGUUGCCAGCGGUUAGGCCGGGAACUCAAAGGAGACUGCCAGUGAUAAACUGGAGGAAGGUGGGGAUGACGUCAAGUCAUCAUGGCCCUUACGACCAGGGCUACACACGUGCUACAAUGGCAUAUACAAAGAGAAGCGACCUCGCGAGAGCAAGCGGACCUCAUAAAGUAUGUCGUAGUCCGGAUUGGAGUCUGCAACUCGACUCCAUGAAGUCGGAAUCGCUAGUAAUCGUAGAUCAGAAUGCUACGGUGAAUACGUUCCCGGGCCUUGUACACACCGCCCGUCACACCAUGGGAGUGGGUUGCAAAAGAAGUAGGUAGCUUAACCUUCGGGAGGGCGCUUACCACUUUGUGAUUCAUGACUGGGGUGA